GACGAACGCUGGCGGCGUGCUUAACACAUGCAAGUCGAACGCUGAAGCUUGGUGCUUGCACUGGGUGGAUGAGUGGCGAACGGGUGAGCAAUACGUGAGUAACCUGCCCUUGACUCUGGGAUAAGCCUGGGAAACUGGGUCUAAUACUGGAUACGACAUGUCACCGCAUGGUGGUGUGUGGAAAGGGUUUUACUGGUUUUGGAUGGGCUCACGGCCUAUCAGCUUGUUGGUGGGGUAAUGGCUCACCAAGGCGACGACGGGUAGCCGGCCUGAGAGGGUGACCGGCCACACUGGGACUGAGACACGGCCCAGACUCCUACGGGAGGCAGCAGUGGGGAAUAUUGCACAAUGGGCGGAAGCCUGAUGCAGCGACGCCGCGUGAGGGAUGACGGCCUUCGGGUUGUAAACCUCUUUCAGCACGGAAGAAGCGAAAGUGACGGUACGUGCAGAAGAAGCGCCGGCUAACUACGUG
Molecule: ribosomal RNA, 472 nt
Filed under: uncultured bacterium
Lineage: Bacteria
Description: partial 16S ribosomal RNA
Rfam family: Bacterial small subunit ribosomal RNA
Source: RNAcentral